Molecule: ribosomal RNA, 657 nt
Filed under: Triticum aestivum (bread wheat)
Lineage: Eukaryota; Viridiplantae; Streptophyta; Magnoliopsida; Poales; Poaceae
Description: partial small subunit ribosomal RNA
Source: RNAcentral
AUGAGGAACAAUCAGAUGUUCCAGUCCCUUGGCAUCGGUGCAAUAGCGUCGAUGAUUAGGAAAACAAAUGGUGUACAAGAAGGUAGAAGUGAUGAGGUUCAAGAGGGUAGUGGAGUUAUCAAUGAUGACCCAGAGUACAAUCCUAAGGAGGAUGAAGUUAUUGAUGGAGAGGAAGUGGAUGAUGUUGUAGUCAACAAGAUUACAGUCAGCAAGAAGAACAAGAGCUCAGAAACAUCUGCUGCAAUGCCUCCAGGAAGGGUGAUGGCCCCAGCUCCAGGACAAAAAAAGAGGAUCCUGGAACCUGAUGAACCUGCCCUUGAUAGAGUCACAAGGCAGAAAGCAAGGAUGGCGACUGCGAUGGACCAUCAGGAAAGUAUGCUGCGCAUGGACUCUCAGACCUCGGUGCAAACGGGUGAUGAGUUGCCGCCCAUGGAUCAAGAUGCAAUGACUCCUAAGACUAGACUUAGAAAGGGCAAAGGGCUAGAGAGGAUCACCAAGUCGCUUGGUAGCAAGGUGCCUAUCCAAAUUGCCGAAGGGAUGAUUCAUCCAGAGAAGCCUCUGCAGGCAGCAAAGCUUGCUUCUGAGUGUGGACUCAUUGCAAAAAGCCAUCUUCCGGUUCUUCCUUCCUCACUUCAAGCUAUACAAAAAAAAUGCUAG